CCUACGGGAGGCAGCAGUGAGGAAUAUUGGUCAAUGGGCGCGAGCCUGAACCAGCCAAGUAGCGUGAAGGAUGACUGCCCUACGGGUUGUAAACUUCUUUUAUAAAGGAAUACAGUGAGGCUCGUGAGCCUUUUUGUAUGUACUUUAUGAAUUAGGAUCGGCUAACUCCGGUCCAGCAGCCGCGGUAAUACGGAGGAUCCGAGCGUUAUCCGGAUUUAUAGGGGUGAAAGGGAGCGUAGAUGGGUUUUUAAGUCAGUUGGGAAAGUUUGCGGCUCAACCGUAAAAUUGCAAUUGAUACUGGCAGCCUUGAGUACAGUUGAGGUAGGCGGAAUUCGUGGUGUAGCGGUGAAAUGCUUAGAUAUCACGAAGAACACCGAUUGCGAAGGCAGCCUACUAAACUGCCACUGACAUUGAUGCUCGAAAGUGUGGGUAGCAAACAGGAUUAGAUACCCCGGUAGUC
Molecule: ribosomal RNA, 460 nt
Filed under: uncultured bacterium
Lineage: Bacteria
Description: partial 16S ribosomal RNA
Rfam family: Bacterial small subunit ribosomal RNA
Source: RNAcentral